GCCCUCCUCCCUGUGAUUUUGAGGGAGGAACAGCAGUGCCCUGGCAGGAGUGCUGUAACCAAUUCCGUACACGUCCUGUCCUCUUCUCAGGUUGAAUGUCUCCAUUGAAUGUAAGCGAGUGUCUGGACUGGAGCCAGCCACCGUGGAUUGGGCCUUCGACCUGACCAAAACGAAUAUGCAAACCAUGUAAGCGUGUCCCGACCAGGGGAGCUUAGUUCCUCUCCCAGCUUUCCUGUCUGACUGCUCCCAAAUUCCCCAGGUAUGAGCAGAGCGAGUGGGGCUGGAAGGACCGAGAGAAACGGGAGGAAAUGACAGAUGACCGAGCCUGGUACCUCAUCGCGUGGGAAAACAGCUCCGUCCCUGUUGCCUUUUCUCACUUCCGGUUUGACGUGGAGUGUGGGGAUGAAGUCCUGUACUGGUAGGA
This 424-nucleotide small RNA is filed under the name Pongo abelii (Sumatran orangutan). Its description in RNAcentral is "retained intron". The record is from RNAcentral. Lineage: Eukaryota; Metazoa; Chordata; Mammalia; Primates; Hominidae.